GUAACAAGUUUGAUGGAAUUAUCAGACUUGUUACAAGGUUGUUCUAACAAGUCUAAUACAAUCAUGAUAAACAAGAAUGCUACAAGGUUGACAACACAAGGUUGUAACAAUACUGCUAUAUCAUGACUGUAUCAGACUUGUUGGAACAACCUUGUAACAAGCCUGAUAAUAUCAACAAGGUUGUUAC
RNAcentral lists this microRNA precursor (187 nucleotides) under Paramuricea clavata. The record is from RNAcentral. Lineage: Eukaryota; Metazoa; Cnidaria; Anthozoa; Malacalcyonacea; Plexauridae.